This 549-nucleotide ribosomal RNA is filed under the name uncultured bacterium. RNAcentral's name for it is "bacterial SSU rRNA". It matches the Rfam family "Bacterial small subunit ribosomal RNA", at positions 355 to 896 of the family's 1533-position model. The record is from RNAcentral.
UGGGGAAUAUUGGACAAUGGGCGAAAGCCUGAUCCAGCCAUGCCGCGUGUGUGAAGAAGGCCUUUUGGUUGUAAAGCACUUUAAGUGGGGAGGAAAAGCUUAUGGUUAAUACCCAUAAGCCCUGACGUUACCCACAGAAUAAGCACCGGCUAACUCUGUGCCAGCAGCCGCGGUAAUACAGAGGGUGCAAGCGUUAAUCGGAAUUACUGGGCGUAAAGCGCGCGUAGGUGGUUAUUUAAGUCAGAUGUGAAAGCCCCGGGCUUAACCUGGGAACUGCAUCUGAUACUGGAUAACUAGAGUAGGUGAGAGGGGAGUAGAAUUCCAGGUGUAGCGGUGAAAUGCGUAGAGAUCUGGAGGAAUACCGAUGGCGAAGGCAGCUCCCUGGCAUCAUACUGACACUGAGGUGCGAAAGCGUGGGUAGCAAACAGGAUUAGAUACCCAGGUAGUCCACGCCGUAAACGAUGUCUACCAGUCGUUGGGUCUUUUAAAGACUUAGUGACGCAGUUAACGCAAUAAGUAGACCGCCUGGGGAGUACGGCCGCAAGGUUA